ACGAACCGUCCAAACGUUAUUCGGAAUCACUGGGCUUAAAGGGUGCGUAGGCGGCUCGAAAAGUUGGGUGUGAAAGCCCUCGGCUCAACCGAGGAAUUGCGCCCAAAACUGCCGGGCUUGAGGGAGACAGAGGUGAGCGGAACUUAGGGUGGAGCGGUGAAAUGCGUUGAUAUCCUAAGGAACACCAGUAGCGUAAGCGGCUCACUGGGUCUCUUCUGACGCUGAGGCACGAAAGCUAGGGGAGCGAAGAGGAUUAGAUACCCUCGUAGUCCUAGCCUUAAACGAUGAGCACUGGUUUGGAGGGCCCUCCAUAGCCUUCCAGACGUAGCGAAAGUGUUAAGUGCUCCGCCUGGGGAGUAUGGUCGCAAGGCUG
RNAcentral lists this ribosomal RNA (373 nucleotides) under uncultured bacterium. RNAcentral's name for it is "bacterial SSU rRNA". It matches the Rfam family "Bacterial small subunit ribosomal RNA", at positions 525 to 896 of the family's 1533-position model. The record is from RNAcentral.